RNAcentral lists this long non-coding RNA (1982 nucleotides) under Canis lupus familiaris (dog). RNAcentral's name for it is "lncRNA (ENSCAFG00845026113.1)". The record is from RNAcentral. Lineage: Eukaryota; Metazoa; Chordata; Mammalia; Carnivora; Canidae.
UUUUUUUUUUUUUUUUUUUGGUUUAUGCCCCUUCUAAGCCAAAUGUAUUAUUUCUCUUUAAAAAGGUACGAACAAUUCUUGCUCUAUAACUUAUUAUCUGAACAAAAAGUUGCUGAAAUGCUAGAAUAAAUCUAUAAAUCAAAGUUUUAUUUGGUUUAGCCUUUCAAUCACACACACACACACACACACACAAUAGGAGAGCCAUAUUAAGAUUUAAUAUAAAAGAACUGUGUGCAUCCCUUAAAUUUUUAGGCAACAUCACUGCGACCCCAAUGCCUGUGAGUGGUGGGUUAAUUACUCAGCAUAAAUGUUAAGAAAUUUACUAGGGACAAGAACAUUACAUGUAAGGAAUAAUUAUUGCAUUUAUUGCAUUUAUUGAAUUUAUUUAGUCCUAUUGUUGUUCCAGGGAUUAGAAACGGUGAUACAAGAUGAAACUCAGUGAUAAUAUUGUGGUUAAGAAAUAGUUAUAGUAAAAAUUAAGCAGAUUCUAGUACACUAAUGAAUGUACCAAAAGAAGUGGUGAAUAGACAAACAUACAAACACACACACACAGAAAAGAGGAAGGUAAUUAGGUAAGUAUUAGGGAAAUAUAUUAAAUGAAUAGAUUAAAAUAACAAAAAUGAUAUAAAGUUCUAACCAUAGAUUUGAGAUGCCAAAGUUUCUUCCCGUUUAUCAAAGACUGAAAAUUCAAAAACUGCACGUGGGCUUAGCAGAAAAACCACAGUUAGUGAUGUCUUCCAUGAAACUUGGAUGGGAGGGCAGUGCUGUUUUUUUCCCAGUAUUUCCCAUUCCUUAAACCGCACAGUCAAUGACAGAGAAGCCAGAGCAUCCCACUAUUUUCUAAUCUUACUCAAAUAUAUUUAUUUGGAGCUCAAUGGAGUGUAACAAAAGUAAACCAGUUCUUUACUAAUUAGACACCUUGUUAACUGCCAUAACCUUCAUUUUAUUCAUGUGAAAAAUGAAAACUAUCAUAUUUACCUUGUCUUUUGUGAGAAUUAUAGAUUGAGUAUUUAAGGUUGCUCACACAAUGCCUGGAAUGUAGGACACAUGAACAUUUCACCAAUAUAUUCAUGCAUGCAUAUUUAAAAUUAUUAGUAGUAAAUUAAAAAUAUAUUUCUAAAAUAUAAAUCAUAAUUAUUUAAACAAUGUCUUCCCUCAUUCUCUUUUUCUUUCCAGUGAGAUGACUUGGGAGAGCAAUGAAGAAAAAUAAAAAUAAAGGAAACAGACAAACAUAAAUAUGUAAAUAUGAGAUAUAUAGAUCCUUCAGGCUCAAGGAUUAGAUUAGUGCCCCAGCAUACCUGGGGAGAGAAGACUAAUGAAUGAGCUGGAAGCUUGUCACUUGAAGGACACUCUAAGGACAAAACAGCCCAGCAAUCAUCCUACUGCACAAUGCCCUGGACCACAGAGGUCUGCACAUUUGUCCUGUCAAGAAGUACAGCCAAAUGUCUGCUGGAGAUCUUUUCCCUCUUACUUCCUUCUGCAGUUUUUAAUUUUUUUAUUUUUUUUAAUUUUAUGAUAGUCACACAGAGAGAGAGAGAGACAGAAGGAGAGGCAGAGACAUAGGCAGAAGGGAGAAGCAGGCAUAGGGAGAAGCAGGCUCCAUGCACCGGGAGCCCGACGUGGGAUUCGAUCCUGCGUCUCCAGGAUCGCACCCUGGGCCAAAGGCAGGCGCCAAACCGCUGCGCCACCCAGGGAUCCCUCCUUCUGCAGUUCUAAUCAUCUCAGGAGAAUGCAUGCAGCUCUUUUAACCCAAUAGACAGAAGAGGCACAGGGUCAUUUGCUUCUGCUCCAUGCUUGUAGUUCACUACAGCCCACUAAGAACAAUCAUAUCCCCCUUCUGAUUGCACAUUCAUUGAGAUCCAGUGAAAACAUAUAUGUAGGCAUGUAUACAUAUACCUGUACACACAGGCAUGUGUAUGUAUGUAUCUACUAUACCAUGUAUAUAAACACCUGUGUAUAUGCAUCUAGUACCAUACCACGUA